AUUCCAACCGUUAACAUUAUAAGCUCUUGGGGAUUUAUUCAAAUAUCAUAUUCAGUUGAGAUACGACAGAUGUCGACAAAGGACUGUGUUGUCAAUGUGCAAAUACGUGUAGGUGAGCCAACUCUUUCGGGUAUUCUGUAUUCAUCAUGUCUUUUGAGUUGACAAUGAUGGAAUUGCAUGUUUCCUUACCAUACCAAUUGGAAAGGAGGUGAUUCACCAAGUAUGUAGGUGGUGUCAAUAGUUCGGUUUUGAUUGAUUUUGAUUAAAAUUUGAACCAUCAUACAUAAGGAAAAAGAUCCUCUCCAAUGCAUUUGGCACCCAACAGUAACCAACUGUUAGGAGGAUUUGGGGGUGUGCGCACAUGUAUUGGGGUGCAUGUCCGAGUCCUCCCAAUCGUCAGAUACUGCAUUUGGCACCCAAUGCGUUAGCGAGGAGCCAGAGAAACUGGACCAAAUGCUGACCGGAUUUUUCAUCUUUGAUUAAAUUGUAACCCCCACUAUAUCCCCCACCCCCACCCCAAAAAGAAAAAUUUUCCUUGAUUAUAUAUUGCCUCUUGCAAAGGCAAGUCCUCAGCUCCAAGGCACUUUCCAUUUCAGAAAAUAAGGUUAUUAUAACAAAAGUUAAGACUUUAUCCUU
Long non-coding RNA from Macadamia integrifolia, 636 nucleotides. RefSeq lists it as uncharacterized. NCBI's taxonomy places the organism in Eukaryota, Viridiplantae, Streptophyta, Magnoliopsida, Proteales, Proteaceae. The transcript is spliced from 2 exons. The record is from RefSeq and is a predicted model, not a curated record.